UACGGGGGGGGCAAGCGUUGUUCGGAAUUACUGGGCGUAAAGGGCUCGUAGGUGGCCAACUAAGUCAGACGUGAAAUCCCUCGGCUUAACCGGGGAACUGCGUCUGAUACUGGAUGGCUUGAGUUUGGGAGAGGGAUGCGGAAUUCCAGGUGUAGCGGUGAAAUGCGUAGAUAUCUGGAGGAAUACCGGUGGCGAAGGCGGCAUCCUGGACCGACAUUGACGCUGAACGGCGAAAGCUAGGGGAGCAAACGGG
Molecule: ribosomal RNA, 253 nt
Filed under: uncultured bacterium
Lineage: Bacteria
Description: partial 16S ribosomal RNA
Rfam family: Bacterial small subunit ribosomal RNA
Source: RNAcentral